GGGGGUACAGCUCACUGGUCAAGUGCAUGUUUAGCAUGCAUGAGGUCCUGAGUUCAAUCCCCAGCAUCUCCA
Molecule: transfer RNA, 72 nt
Filed under: Camelus bactrianus (Bactrian camel)
Lineage: Eukaryota; Metazoa; Chordata; Mammalia; Artiodactyla; Camelidae
Also listed under: 3 other names
Rfam family: tRNA
About the family: Transfer RNA (tRNA) molecules are approximately 80 nucleotides in length. Their secondary structure includes four short double-helical elements and three loops (D, anti-codon, and T loops).
Source: Rfam by way of RNAcentral